AUGGCUAACUCCAGUUGAGACACACGUUCAGCAAGUGUCGGACAUACGAUCUCCAGGCGUGAACGUCGCUACAUUGAACCCGUGAAACGCCUGGAACCUGCAGUUGUCGUCCAGGGGCUUUGGCAGACUUUCGUGUGCAGCUACAGGUUGAGGUGGUAUUGGACGUGCUGGGCACAGGCACGGAAGGCGCUGCCCGCAACCUGAGCAUUGGUUGGACUUGGCGUCUUCCAAGCCAGCUGGUAGGUAUGGGCGCUCCAUGGCGCGCGCACACACACACACACACACAGGAGGUACUCGGUAUUAGACGCGAACUGGUCGAUGUACUAGAGUGAGCGCCUGAUACGCGAGCACCGCAAAAACCCUGUCCAAAGUUCGGAGUGAAGCUCGGGAAACGUGCUCGUAGCGCUUGGCGGAAAGAGCUGUUGUUGGUACUGGUGGUCGUCCCACAACGGUGCUCUGUGAGAGGUGCACUUUGGAAUGCUUGUAGCAGCUGGUGAUUCUCGGCUUUCACUGGAUUCUCUCCUGUGCAGCAUGGAAGGCAUGUCCGUGGAUUUACAGAAGAGUCGGUGAAGUACGUUACAAUGUCAUUGGUAGCUUGCGAGAAAAGCCUCUUGGGUUCUGCGACUCAGACAUUCGAUGGUUAGCAGGUGGAUGAACCAAUCGUCUCUUUGUCGUUACCCCGAAGGGCGCUUACGCAAAACAGAACUUUACAAACGGAAUCUGAACGGCUGCCUCGUCGUGAAUCCAUUCCACUGCAUACGUUUUCUUGUUAAAAAUACGAACAAAACAGCCACAUCAUGUAAAGCUUUCUCCCUUUGAUACCAGCGGCGAUGAAGAAACACCGAUGGACAGACAAAAACGGGUGUUUCUGUCGGAGACCGUCGUGCGUUGCUCAGCCUACAAUCGAUUUCGAAAUGGACUGCGAACGCUUUUGGCAGUAUGGACGGAGGUUCGUCUCAGCCAAUGGUAGUUUAUUGGGGAGGAACGCUAGAGCCGAACACGAGGACUCAAAGCGGGACAAGUAUUUGGUCGUUACGAAGCGAAACGCGGUAUUGACGACAAGAUCAACGCGACUGGCGAUUCUAUCGGGUGGAUGUAUCCAAAUUACCGUUCGGGUAGCAGCGAUCAAGAGCUCGCGGUUCGUCGAGGUACUCUUCGCGGCUUCUGAUUCCCACAUUCAUCUGGUUCGCUCUUGGAUUACGUCGCUUUUUAUCACUCAAAAGCCGUCAUGGAGCACGAAGCUGUGAUGAGCGUCGAGCUGCCCUGUAUGGCGCCUUCAGGCUCCAGGUUCAGUCCGGUCAAAGUCGUAUUCUCUAUGGCCGCACGUGAUGCUUUCGCCCAGUGAUCAAGAGAAGAGUCGUUCGCACACGUGAUAACGAAACAUGCAGCACGCAAUCAGGAUUUGGAUCGCUUCCUAAUCGAGGAAUUCUCGCUUCGCUUCCCUCGAAUCGAAGCAUCUCAUCAACCAACUGUUUGUACGAGGUACCGCCGUAAGGCUCUUAGCUAUCCUCAUUCGUUUGGCAUAAUGCAAUCCAAACGUCGUUCAUACACCGAUGCUUGGGAGCAGGAGACGCAAUACAGCCUCAUGAUAGGAUCAGAGAUUCGCGCAGAAGCUUCCUGGAAUACGGUGACGCGUCGUCGUGGCGCACGUCACCGGUCAGGACUUGGAAAGCGCAGGCGCCAGCAACAAGAAACCAACCUCGUAAACGAUAUCGAGGGUCAGUCUCGUGCGCUUCAUGCGGUAUGCCCCGUGAGCGGUGUACCCGAGCGUUGCUCAACGCACUGGCACAGAACGGGGGCACUGCUACAAGGCACCCUCAGCGUGUCGAUGGACACAAAUGAGGAGCUGAUGCAGGAAGAGCUCGGCGUGGUAACGAGUUCAGCACAGAUGUUGCAACGAGAGCGAGCGUUGCUUCAGAUCGUCCGAGCUCAUGGUGUUGGUGUGGGCUUCGGACAGACGGACGUCUUACGCGAAGGAUCAUUGGAGCGUGAUGCCUAGCCUGCUUCAGUCUUGCGCUGCAAUUUUGUCUCGUACAGAUCCCUUUAGAGCAACGCAGACUCGCUUACCCAGUGCGAGUGCCACAGCUUCUCCAAGCGUCUAUUCGAGACGGUCUCUGUAUGCCACAUCAAGUCCUUUUGUAAUCCAAUGGAUACCUGUGGAAUGUAGUGAAUGGCCUCCGUCAUGGCGGCGGCUCGUCCGCACGAACAAGCGAGGAGCCUUCGAACAAGCUCGCAAAAGACAUUGGCGGAGCUCAUGCCAGGUUUUCUCGUUCGCGGACUGAAUUGGAAAGCGGUUCACAGUGACGAUAGAUACGGAAGGACGAUGCAUCUGCAGGCAUUCUUGUGAAACCUCGACCUCAGUCAGGCAACGUAGCUUUUUCUAAACUGUUCAAGGUAGAUAAAGAGGGAGACUUUGCUGGGG
Cyanidioschyzon merolae strain 10D is the source of this 2422-nucleotide RNA transcript. RefSeq lists it as hypothetical. The record is from RefSeq and is a predicted model, not a curated record. Lineage: Eukaryota; Rhodophyta; Bangiophyceae; Cyanidiales; Cyanidiaceae. The transcript has a single exon.